UAUAUAUAUAUCAGUGGCAGAGCAGUGGGUGGGUUGGUGCGUUCUUAGAGUCUCUUGUUCUUGGAGAAAAACAAAUAAAGUAAAGAAAAGCCGGCCUUCUUACAAUUGACUAGAGCCUAUUUAGACAACAUUUUCCGGCAACCUUUAGCUGACUAGAUGUGUCAGCUGAUGUGUGCAAUUUUAUAUACUUCAACUAAGAUGAGAUGUGCGGUUGAAAGCUUUCAAGACACCAUGAAAGUAGUGACACGAGUCCGUAUGUGAC
Molecule: long non-coding RNA, 262 nt
Filed under: Prunus persica (peach)
Lineage: Eukaryota; Viridiplantae; Streptophyta; Magnoliopsida; Rosales; Rosaceae
Description: long non-coding RNA (PPER_LNC008477)
Source: RNAcentral